AGCUGGGCCAGCGCGCGAAAUGCGAAAUUUGCUUGAACUGGUAAAGUUGUGCCGUACAGGAGUAUGUCGUCCUGCUUUUCAGCUCCACUGUUUAAUAAGCUCAAACUAGAUGCGCCCGUUGAGGGACUGCGGUCAGAGAGCCGGGCACCAGGUUAAAGAAACGUGGUGACGCUACUGACCUGUUAACCGUACCGCGUUCUGUCCUCAACCAUGUCAACGUGAAGACCCGAUUGUACACCAUGUAUGACGUCAACCCCACCGCCACCGAGUUCGCAGGUAACCUCGAAGGUGGUUAGAUGUCGAUCCCAGGCCGUGGAAUCGUUACGGAAGCAGUGCACGGGUAACGAGAGGAGACUACAAAACAGCUCACCUGGCAUAAUUCGUCAUGGGAGGUUGAAUUAUAAGCUUGCAC
Branchiostoma belcheri (Belcher's lancelet) is the source of this 412-nucleotide long non-coding RNA. RefSeq lists it as uncharacterized. Lineage: Eukaryota; Metazoa; Chordata; Leptocardii; Amphioxiformes; Branchiostomatidae. The transcript is spliced from 3 exons. The record is from RefSeq and is a predicted model, not a curated record.